Molecule: transfer RNA, 72 nt
Filed under: Ictidomys tridecemlineatus (thirteen-lined ground squirrel)
Lineage: Eukaryota; Metazoa; Chordata; Mammalia; Rodentia; Sciuridae
Description: Spermophilus tridecemlineatus (thirteen-lined ground squirrel) tRNA
Rfam family: tRNA
About the family: Transfer RNA (tRNA) molecules are approximately 80 nucleotides in length. Their secondary structure includes four short double-helical elements and three loops (D, anti-codon, and T loops). Further hydrogen bonds mediate the characteristic L-shaped molecular structure. tRNAs have two regions of fundamental functional importance: the anti-codon, which is responsible for specific mRNA codon recognition, and the 3' end, to which the tRNAs corresponding amino acid is attached (by aminoacyl-tRNA synthetases). tRNAs cope with the degeneracy of the genetic code in two manners: having more than one tRNA (with a specific anti-codon) for a particular amino acid; and 'wobble' base-pairing, i.e. permitting non-standard base-pairing at the 3rd anti-codon position.
Source: Rfam by way of RNAcentral
GUGGUUGUGGCUCAGUGGUAAGAGCACUUGCCUAGCAUGUGUGAGGUACUGGGUUUUAUUCUCAGCACCAUA